GGAUUAAGAGCUUGCUCUUAUGAAGUUAGCGGCGGACGGGGGAGUAACACGUGGGUAACCUGCCCAUAAGACUGGGAAACUCCGGGAAACCGGGGCUAAUACCGGAUAACAUUUUGAACCGCAUGGUUCGAAAUUGAAAGGCGGCUUCGGCUGUCACUUAUGGAUGGACCCGCGUCGCAUUAGCUAGUUGGUGAGGUAACGGCUCACCAAGGCAACGAUGCGUAGCCGACCUGAGAGGGUGAUCGGCCACACUGGGACUGAGACACGGCCCAGACUCCUACGGGAGGCAGCAGUAGGGAAUCUUCCGCAAUGGACGAAAGUCUGACGGAGCAACGCCGCGUGAGUGAUGAAGGCUUUCGGGUCGUAAAACUCUGUUGUUAGGGAAGAACAAGUGCUAGUUGAAUAAGCUGGCACCUUGACGGUACCUAACCCGAAAGCCACCGCUAACUACGUGCCCCAGCCGCGGAAUACGUAGGUGGCAAGCGUUAUCCGGAAUUAUUGGGCGUAAAGCGCGCGCAGGUGGGUUCUUAAGUCUGUUGUGAAACCCACC
RNAcentral lists this ribosomal RNA (550 nucleotides) under Bacillus sp. (in: firmicutes). RNAcentral's name for it is "bacterial SSU rRNA". It matches the Rfam family "Bacterial small subunit ribosomal RNA", at positions 69 to 605 of the family's 1533-position model. The record is from RNAcentral. Lineage: Bacteria; Bacillati; Bacillota; Bacilli; Caryophanales; Bacillaceae.